UACGGAGGUGGCAAGCGUUGUUCGGAUUUAUUGGGUGUAAAGGGCAGGUAGGUGUCCUAGCAAGUUCUGGUUGAAAUCCCUCAGCUCAACUGAGGAACGCGUCAGAAAACUGCUGGGAUUGAGUGCGGAAGAGGAGAGCGGAAUUCCCGGUGUAAGGGUGAAAUCUGUAGAUAUCGGGAAGAACACCAGUGGCGAAAGCGGCUCUCUGGUACGCUACUGACACUGAACUGCGAAAGCUAGGGGAGCAAAC
RNAcentral lists this ribosomal RNA (250 nucleotides) under uncultured bacterium. RNAcentral's name for it is "partial 16S ribosomal RNA". It matches the Rfam family "Bacterial small subunit ribosomal RNA", at positions 524 to 773 of the family's 1533-position model. The record is from RNAcentral.